This 24-nucleotide non-coding RNA is filed under the name Mus musculus (house mouse). The record is from RNAcentral. Lineage: Eukaryota; Metazoa; Chordata; Mammalia; Rodentia; Muridae.
UACUGAGGCGCACGCCUAGACUGC